Molecule: long non-coding RNA, 5835 nt
Organism: Lepus europaeus (European hare)
Lineage: Eukaryota; Metazoa; Chordata; Mammalia; Lagomorpha; Leporidae
Exons: 6
Source: RefSeq, a predicted model, not a curated record
AGGUAGAGACAGAGAGAGAGAGAGAGAAAGAGAGAUCGUCCAUCCAUUGGUUUAAUCCCCAAAUGGCCUCAACAGCCAGAGCUGAGCCAAUCCAAAGCCAGGAGCCAGGAGCUUCUUCCUGAUUUCCCAGGAAAGAAAUACUUGGUGUGAACCAACAUAAAGGACCUUAAGUUGAACCAGCCUGCGAAUUCUAUCAAGCACUCGACACAAGUGUUCGGAAUUCUGCAUGCACCAUGAUUUUCUGUGCAUUGUCAAGAGUGGCAAACGACUUAGUGAAUAUUAAUCUUCCGCUGCCCUGCCUUGUCCCUUGGCAAGACCAGACGCCCCCUGCUGUGGGAAGUAUAAAUUCAAGGAACUGAAUUCUGCUGACAACCGCAGGAGUUUGGAAGCGGAUCCUGGAGCCACAUACUACAUCUUGAGUGCAGCAUUGCGAGACCCACACAAGAUGACCUAGUUAAGUUGUGCCUGAACUCUUGAUCACUAUGUGCUGCCAGAAGUCACCACGUUUGUGGCCCUAUCAGGAGGAGAGUAAAAAAAUGCUGAUGCAAAUAGCCGUGUUCUUCCUGGAGGAUCAGAGCUGCGUUAGGAGAGGAAAACUCCCAGCCCCACUGUGGGAGAAGAAAUGAAAGGGAACACGGGAGGUGUGGCCAAGUCCACUAGGAGGGAAGUGCAGUGCUGCCUGCAGAUGACUGUAACUUAUGCCAGGAUCACGAUUUUUAGUGGAGCGGGAAAGGAGGAAGAGAAUCUGACCUGUGUCUGCUCCGUGUCUAACUCCAGUACCCCUCCCAUGAAUCUGGAAUUUGCCUCCACUCCGGCUGUUACCGCAGGCAAACUGCCGCGUUCUCCUUGCCAGUGGGACCUACCAUAAGCUUUACUAGUGCCAUGCUAGAAGAGUGCGGUGAAAUAACGAAAUUCCUCCUAGCUAUGAUUCUCAGACUUUUCAACCACAGAUACAAGAAGACAAAAUUUGAAGCCCGCAAGAAAAGAGCUUUCCUUGCAAACUGCUGCAACCACUAGUACUCAUCCUUUUACAUAUGUAUGUUUCCAAUGCCAGUGAACCACAGGGAUUAGUGUUGCUACCAGGAGGAAGGACAUUAAAGAAAGUCAACGAGCAAAAUGCCUUAAGUAAAAUUGUCACCAUGACCUUCACUGUUGAUCAAUCUGUUUUUGCUUUGACUGGACCACUUCUGCCUCUUGGAAGCCAACACUUUGUGGCUUGCCUUCAGGAUCAUACUGGUAAGGCCAUGUUUUGUUUCUUGUUCCAACUCUUCAAAGACAUGCUCCAGAAUCUUGGUUCCACUUGAUGAAAAUUUCCAUUAAAAGCUCUGUGCUUGUCUGAAGCUCAUCUAGGUGCAAAAAUUGUGAUAGCCAUGGAGAGGAAGUUUGCAUCACUUUAAUUUUUGAAUCAUACCUGUGUAAGCUAAGCCAAUUGAGAUGCCCAUGAUGUUGGUGAUUGUUUUUGCUGUUGGCAGUCCUCUUUGACUAGCACAUAAACAAGAUUGAUUCUUUCCUGGCCAAUUGAUGGGGAUGGGCUACUGCUCCUGGCUCCAUCUCCAACAUCAUCUUGUUCCUGUUAUACAGGCUCUUUUCAAAUUAGUGUCUUAUCCUACAGCUUCAAACCAGAUUCUGCAAAGACAUCUGAUGAUAAGUUAACACAGAUUUAUUCUGGUGCAAAAAGAAAUGAAGUCUUGCAUAGUUUUUCCAUAGUUCACAUUUUCCAUGAAUGAGUUGAAGACCCUUGUGCUAUGUGAUAGAAAUUGGUUAAGUACUUUAUAUAACAUUCAUUUGUCAUUAACAAUCCUGCCUGGUAGUUACCAUUGCACUCAUUUUAUUUAUAAGAAAAGUAAAACUGUAAGAAGAGAAGUAAUUUUGUAGCAUUAUGUAGAAAAUAAAGAUCCAAAUAUGAGUUUGAAUCUAAGUUCAGAUUCUGUACUAAUUCUGAUGUAUCACAAUAUUUAUGUCACCAAAGAAUAAUUAUAUGAUUGGAUAAAUUAGCAUAAGAUUUUGAAGGAAAUACAUUUUUGUGCAACCCAUUUGUUUACAGCAUGUUCAAAUACAUUAGUGCAUUCACAUUUAUGUAAAAUCUCCACCCACAGCUCAUUUUGCAACAUUGUGCUAACUAAAACACACAGCAAUUUCUGUAUGUGUGUAUCUGUCAUUUUCCACUCUCAUCUCACAUCUUUCAGGAAUUCCAUUUACUUCUCUGUUUCAUUGAGUACACUCAGUUUUGUUUUAGAAAGGAGUUAUGUCAUGCACGCAGUGUGCAAAGCUGACAGUUCGUAACAUUAUUGUUUUAGUGAAUAGCCCAUCUUUCCUCAGUUCUCUUCAUCCUGUGUAACUCCUUUGGACCAUUGUGAAAAUGAGCCAAUUACACGUGCACCUGUGCAAGAAGGAGGGAAUAUUUGGACAUAGAAUGAAUCUGUCCUUUGUCAUGUUAUUCAAAUAAAAACCAGGGAUGGCCCCCUAAACCUCCAGUGUUUUUUCAUUGACAAGGGGAAGGAGAGUUUCUUCCUUUCCAUUAGAAACAUUUCAAUCAUUGAGUCUAAAUAUCAGGCAUAUCUGGUUUUGCCCUUUUCCCAUAUUCGUAUUGUAUUAGUAACUGAAUAACAAAAGCAGACUUUAGAAGCAUAAAGUUACAAACCCUUGGGGAGGAAAAUGACUUGUGCAAUGAAAAUGCUACUGGGCGCCUAAGUAAAGCAGCUCUGGCAGGGACAACUACAAUAUAAUUUGUCACCAGAAAGCACACUAAGAUGCAGAAUACAUAAUUAUCUUAUCAGUAAGCUGAGAAUAGUGGUGAAACUCAUUUGAAUUAAGAACCAAAAUUCUAAGUCUCAAGGAAAUACAAGGUGUCAGGCAACCAGUAAUACUGAGAUGAAUGCUGAAAUUAUUUCCAAAUGUGUAUUUCAUGGAAUUUUUUACUAAAAUUUGUAAUUGUAUAGAGGGUUAAAAUGUACUGAAAGCUUAAGAGUAACAAUGGCCUGUUAGGAAUUUAAAAAUGCCUGAAAGAGAAUAAAAUUUUUAUUUGUUUGUAGAAAACUCUGUAUCUAGAUAUCAUACUACAAAAAUAAAAAUACUUCCAUUUGCUUAGAGUGUAGUGUACAGUGUACAUUUUCCCGGUCUAUAUUGUAUUCACUGCAUAGUGUACAGGCUUUCGGUGCUAUAGUUACAAUUAUUUUUGAUUGUAAGGGAAUAUACAUUGUGUAUAUACCCUUUAUCAUGCUUUUUUUAAAGGUGCAAUCUUUCUACAGUCAUCUGUGCCAAGAAUGUAUUAUCUGUGUGACACUUAACUUUUCCUUUAUUAAGUCCAAGCAUUUUCACCUGUGCCUUUGCAAGAAUGUUGUCCCAGGUAAUAGAGGAAAGAGCGAUCUCUUUUGUCCCUGACUUUCUAUAGGGAGCAGCUCUUAAUAAACACCCUCCCCACAGGGGCCUGCACAUCUGUCUCUCUCUCUCUCUCCCUCUCCCCCCCCUUUCUUCUCUCUCUCUUCUCUCUCUCUCUCUCUCUCUCUCUCUCUCUCUCUCUUUCUCACCCUGCAGGAAGAGCAUGGGCAAGGCUGUUUCAUUUCCUCUUACUCCUCAGUACAGACAAUCAGGAUAUAAUAAACUAUUCAAAGAAAAUAAACAAAAGGAUGUACAUUACAUGCACAAGCAUAAACAUCACCCACAUUACAAAGUCGAAGUGUCCAGUUCUGGAUAAAUGAAGUCCACAAAGAAACAGGGAUGGCAAAGAAGCACAUGAGACUUAGCUAACACGUUUGGAUUUAAAAUCUCUGCUUUCCCCUACACUGGCUAUGUGUGCUUUGAAAGAGCAUGCAACCUAGUGACUCUCAUUUUUUGCCUCAUUUGUUUGUUUUAGCUUGGAAAGCAAAAUGAGAAACUCCUGCUUUGCAGCGCUGUUAUAAGGAUUAGAGCUAUGAAUAUCAACCUUUAUGUAUGUUCCUGUCAUGAGCCACGUGAGACAUUCUGUAACCUACAGAGGCAGUGUUAAUCAGGAGCAGCAUGUUCUACACUAUUCCGUUGGUCCCACCUUUCAGAGAGGUAGAACUGCCUUGUCAUUGCCUCAGAGCUCAUAAAGUAGAGUUAAGCACAAAAUCAUCUGUGACCUCUCCAGUGUGUGCUGCGCUGUGUCUGAGAACCUGGCCACGACCCACAUGUGAUAAAAAUAGCAGUUUUUGCCUGGUCCAAAAACUCUGUGCCUUUAAAAAAGAAAACUCUCUCCAAAGAUCUUGCCCUUCCUCCUCUCCAUGCAACUGUCCAGUUCUUUCCAAGGUGGCACUCUACUGUUUAUUUGGAUAGCACAGAGGUCAGGCUCAAAUAGAACUUUGAAGCCAGUCCUUCCUUUGUUUGUUUUUCUCAUUCUUACACACAAUUGGAAAAUUCUUGCUUUCCUCUUAUAUUCUUCCUGUCAGGUGAAUGGUCCUGUUAAAUGAGUAUAUAUGUAACACAUUGAGCACUAAAAAUAACCCCAUGCUUUCAUUUUCACAAAUGAAUUCAUGUAUUCAUAUUGUCUUCGGCCCUUCUUAUGAACGAAGCACACUGAUCUGUACACAAAUCACCACCAUGGCCAAUGUCAGAUCUCAAUGAGGGUGGAGUGCAGGGCUGUGGGGAGAGAAGAUGCCCAUCUCCACCACUGGGGUGCAGGCGGAUUUGCCUAAGGCUGAGAGAAGAGCAGAACAGCGGGGAAGCUUCUUAAAGCCAGGCUUGUACCAUGAACAAGACAGUGAUCAUCCACCCCAGAGGGAGGGCCAGGAAGGCCCAGAGGAACCCACGAUGACAUGCAGAAAACAGCCAGCCGAAGUCUGAGAGUGGAGAAAGAGAACUGGCGAAAAUUCUCCAGCACUCUGGACUUUGGCACUGUGUGUGUCAUUUACACACGAUGACCAGCAUCCAAUAAGAAACUGCAAUGUAUGUAAGGAGAAAAUGUAUCAAGAAAAAGCAGUCCAUGGAAGAAAAGCAGGCCUGAAAGAUAUGUUCAAAUCACCAGCCUGGGAAUUUUAAGUAACUUUACUGCUACAGACCGAAACAGUCACACCAAUAGCCCUCCGCCUAUUCAAGCAGAGAUUCUCCGAGUGUGGUUGGAAGACCAACCGCAGUGGAACUUCUUGGGAACUUAUUGAAAAUGAAACCUUUGGGGACUUACAGAAUCCUGGAAAGUGAUCCAAUAAUCUGUGUCUUAAUAAGCCUACCAGGUUGUUGUAAUGCAUAAUGAAACUUAGGAACCACUGUAUUUAAAAAAUUGAAUUCAUCAUCAGAAGCAAAAAUAAUAAUAGGCAUAGAUAUAUCCACUCAUUAAUUUAAUAAACCCUCAGGAUGGAAUAACAGAAUUGCUACCCAAACAUUUUCAUAAAAUAAAGGACACUGGAAUAGUUUUUAGCUCACUUCAAGAGGCCCAUAUAACCCUAAAGCCAACUGACAAAAACACUACAAGAAAAGAAAACCAUAGAUCAACAUCCCUCAUGAACAUACAUAUAAAAAUAAUUAAUAAUGUAUUAAGCUGUCGAAUCUAACUGUAUAGAAAAGAUGAUAUAUCAUGAUCUACUGUGGUCUAUCUCAGAAAUGCCAAGUUAGAUUAGCAAUCAAUCAAAUGUGCAAUUCACAAUAUUAAUAAAGUCAGUGAGAAAUACAGCACAAUCCAUUCAACAGAUGCAGAUACAGCAUUUGAUAAAAUGCAGAAAGCCAUUAAUGUCAGAAUUUUCCCAUCAAAGAAGAAGUAGAAGAGGAAAUCUUAAAUCUGAUAGAAGUUAACAAAUGUUGUUAACUUACUACUCAACUGUAGAACCUUAUACAUAGGAUGGUACAAUAAUGCCUGGUAUGAAAUAAUGCUACAGAAAGGUUUAC